Molecule: non-coding RNA, 128 nt
Filed under: Chaetura pelagica (chimney swift)
Lineage: Eukaryota; Metazoa; Chordata; Aves; Apodiformes; Apodidae
Source: RNAcentral
UGAUUAUAUGAAAGGAGAGAAGGUCAGCACUCCCCUGCAUGAGGAUGGAAGAGGCCCUGGUGGCCUGUGCAACACACAUGUGGUUAAGACACUGCCACCUACUUUGUGGCAUCUAACCAAGAUUUAUU